Impatiens glandulifera is the source of this 1147-nucleotide long non-coding RNA. RefSeq lists it as uncharacterized. The record is from RefSeq and is a predicted model, not a curated record. The transcript has 4 exons. Lineage: Eukaryota; Viridiplantae; Streptophyta; Magnoliopsida; Ericales; Balsaminaceae.
GUUUAAAAGUUGUUGAAUCUAUUACUAAUUUUAAUAUAAUUGAUCUUUGUGGAAAUCCAGUGAGGUUUACAUCACAGGGUCUUCCAAGGGCCAGCUUGUGAGCAUAUCAGUAUCAUUACAUGCUUUUGAAAUGUACCAGGAGGUAACAGCUAGGGUAUUUAUGCCUCUCAGUUUGAGUGGCCAACAAGUUGCUGUAAAACAAACAUUACAAAUGGGAAUCUCAUCCUUCAACUCAGAACAUCAAAGUUUUUAGGUUCCAAGAGUCCAAGAUUCAGGAGUUAUCUGAGCAUGUUCAAAAUGAUCAUAUUGUUUCGACUAUUUCCCAAUUUGUGUACAACUAAGGGUGAACCGACCUGGCCUACAUAAAAUGGGUUGACAAACGAAAUGUUUCAAGGGGAAGGAUAUUCGUGACCAUACCAUAUGACCAUAUUGGACCAAUUCUAGCUGGAUUGAUCGAGAAAAUAAAGGGAGGUUUGGUUGGCUAAAGUUGGAAGUCCCAUUUAGACUAUAGAUAAUGAAGUUUUCAUUUUUACUGUGGUUGGUAUUAAUGGUCAAAACGAAUACGAAGCACAAUUUGUCGGUGUUUUCUGGUGUUUCCUCAUAUCCAAUCAGAAAGCACGACAGGUUUUGCUCCGUAUUCGGCUUGACCACUAAUACCAACAACAGGAGAAAGAUGACACCCCAUUGCCUGCCGUUUAAGCGAAUUUUUCAACUAUCGCCAACCAAAACCUGUCUAACUUUCUGAGAAUCAUUCUUAGCUAAAUUGGUUCAAAAUGGUCCGAUGGUAUUGUCACAAAUAUCUUCCCGCUUGAAGCAUUUUAUUUUUCACCACGUUUCGCUCGUUAACUUCUGUAGGCCUGAUCUAGCUUAUCCUAGCUGUGCACAAAUUUGGGAGCAGUCGAAACAAUCGGUAUCCCGAUUUGACUCCCAAUAUUAGAAUGAAGAUGGUGAAUGAAAGUGGACAAAACCGCCACUUGCCGGCUGAAUGACAAUAUGUAUCCUUUCUGAAGAAGGGAGAAAGGGUUCACAGGCAGACAAAGAUGACCUCAAAGAACUGAGUUGCCAUCUUUGUAAAAAGUUGAUGGUUUUGCCUGAAACUACUCCUUGUGUUCACAACUUCUGCAAAUGAACUUGUGCAGAGGGUGCU